UAGCCGUAGGUGAACCUGCGGCUGGAUCAUUAUCGAGCACACCAAAACACUCUCGCCUGCGGGCUUGAGGUAACCGUGGCGGCCUAAUAUGCGGUCCGUUUGCUUGACGGAUGUCUGCAUGCCACACUGACCAAACGGCUUCGGCUUGCGUCUACGUCAGGUUGAGGGGUUGUCGCCUUUGCCGUGGCCCUAGUCGACCUGAUGAUAGCGCAUACGUCCUGCUAGUUCGGGGUAGCGGAUGCGUAGACUUAAUGAGGACCCGCCAAGCGGUCCCGCGAGCCAACCCAUUUUUUUAACGAUUUUUUAAAGCCUUCGGGCUAAAGACUAUACCAGUCUUACCGGUGGAUCACUCGGUUCGU
This 359-nucleotide unclassified non-coding RNA is filed under the name soil metagenome. Its description in RNAcentral is "partial contains small subunit ribosomal RNA, internal transcribed spacer 1, and 5.8S ribosomal RNA". The record is from RNAcentral.